AGAGUCGGUUUUUCCUUUUUCGCUACAAUCUCCCUCUCCUUUCUUUUCUGUCGUUUCCUUCCCUGCGUAAAUGCAAAGUCUCUCCCGACCGUUUCUCGUCUCUUUUUUACUUUCACCAGUAUGUCUCCGCUCUUCGAACGAACUUUUGUUUCUCCGCAUGCUCUAGUCAGGAGCUAGGAGAAAGAACGAAAGAAGAGAUC
Molecule: non-coding RNA, 200 nt
Filed under: Chromera velia
Lineage: Eukaryota; Chromeraceae
Source: RNAcentral